AUGAACGCUAGCGACAGGCCUAACACAUGCAAGUCGAGGGGCAGCACAAGGAGCAAUCUGAGGUGGCGACCGGCGCACGGGUGAGUAACACGUAUGCAACCUGCCUGUAAGCGGGGAAUAACCCGUUGAAAGACGGACUAAUACCGCAUAAUACUAAAUUACUGCAUGGUAAUUUAUUUAAACAUUUAUGGCUUACAGAUGGGCAUGCGCAUGAUUAGCUAGUUGGAGAGGUAACGGCUCCCCAAGGCAACGAUCAUUAGGGGUUCUGAGAGGAAGGUCCCCCCACACUGGUACUGAGACACGGACCAGACUCCUACGGGAGGCAGCAGUGAGGAAUAUUGGUCAAUGGACGAGAGUCUGAACCAGCCAAGUCGCGUGCAGGAAGAAUGUUCCCUAUGGAUUGUAAACUGCUUUUGCAGGGGAAUAAAGUGCAUCACGUGUGAUGUUUUGUAUGUACUCUGCGAAUAAGGAUCGGCUAACUCCGUGCCAGCCGCCGC
This 497-nucleotide ribosomal RNA is filed under the name uncultured bacterium. Its description in RNAcentral is "bacterial SSU rRNA". It matches the Rfam family "Bacterial small subunit ribosomal RNA", at positions 29 to 518 of the family's 1533-position model. The record is from RNAcentral.